Long non-coding RNA from Thalassophryne amazonica, 93 nucleotides. RefSeq lists it as uncharacterized. The record is from RefSeq and is a predicted model, not a curated record. The transcript is spliced from 3 exons. Lineage: Eukaryota; Metazoa; Chordata; Actinopteri; Batrachoidiformes; Batrachoididae.
ACGAUAUUUGAACGAACCAAUAACUAAAGCUUUGACGAGCUGAACGAAACAUCCUUAUAUCGCUAAUGAAUCGUGCAUUCAUGGAUGAUACAC